RNAcentral lists this ribosomal RNA (708 nucleotides) under uncultured Acidovorax sp. Its description in RNAcentral is "bacterial SSU rRNA". It matches the Rfam family "Bacterial small subunit ribosomal RNA", at positions 32 to 744 of the family's 1533-position model. The record is from RNAcentral. Lineage: Bacteria; Pseudomonadati; Pseudomonadota; Betaproteobacteria; Burkholderiales; Comamonadaceae.
AACAGUGGCGGCAUGCCUUACCAUGCAAGUCGAACGGUAACAGGUCUUCGGAUGCUGACGAGUGGCGAACGGGAGUAAUACAUCGGAACGUGCCCGAUCGUGGGGGAUAACGAAGCGAAAGCUUUGCUAAUACCGCAUAAGAUCUACGGAUGAAAGCAGGGGACCGCAAGGCCUUGCGCGAACGGAGCGGCCGAUGGCAGAUUAGGUAGUUGGUGGGAUAAAAGCUUACCAAGCCGACGAUCUGUAGCUUGUCUGAGAGGACGACCAGCCACACUGGGACUGAGACACGGCCCAGACUCCUACGGGAGGCAGCAGUGGGGAAUUUUGGACAAUGGGCGAAAGCCUGAUCCAGCCAUGCCGCGUGCAGGAUGAAGGCCUUCGGGUUGUAAACUGCUUUUGUAUGGAACGAAAAGACUCUGGUUAAUACCUGGGGUCCAUGACGGUACCGUAAGAAUAAGCACCGGCUAACUACGUGCCAGCAGCCGCGGUAAAUACGUAGGGUGCAAGCGUUAAUCGGAAUUACUGGGCGUAAAGCGUGCGCAAGCGGUUAUGUAAGACAGAUGUGAAAUCCCCGGGCUCACCUGGGAACUGCAUUGGUGACUUGUAUAGCUAGACGUCGGCAGAGGGGGAUGGAAUACACGUGUAGCAGAGAAUGCGUAGAUAUGCGGAGGAACACCGAUGGCGAAGGAAACACCUGGACUGUACUAC